This 594-nucleotide ribosomal RNA is filed under the name Salmonella enterica. RNAcentral's name for it is "partial 23S ribosomal RNA". It matches the Rfam family "Bacterial large subunit ribosomal RNA", at positions 2211 to 2804 of the family's 2925-position model. The record is from RNAcentral. Lineage: Bacteria; Pseudomonadati; Pseudomonadota; Gammaproteobacteria; Enterobacterales; Enterobacteriaceae. RNAcentral also lists the same sequence under 3 other names.
UGUUUGAUGUUCUAACGUGGACCCGUAAUCCGGGUUGCGGACAGUGUCUGGUGGGUAGUUUGACUGGGGCGGUCUCCUCCUAAAGAGUAACGGAGGAGCACGAAGGUUGGCUAAUCCUGGUCGGACAUCAGGAGGUUAGUGCAAUGGCAUAAGCCAGCUUGACUGCGAGCGUGACGGCGCGAGCAGGUGCGAAAGCAGGUCAUAGUGAUCCGGUGGUUCUGAAUGGAAGGGCCAUCGCUCAACGGAUAAAAGGUACUCCGGGGAUAACAGGCUGAUACCGCCCAAGAGUUCAUAUCGACGGCGGUGUUUGGCACCUCGAUGUCGGCUCAUCACAUCCUGGGGCUGAAGUAGGUCCCAAGGGUAUGGCUGUUCGCCAUUUAAAGUGGUACGCGAGCUGGGUUUAGAACGUCGUGAGACAGUUCGGUCCCUAUCUGCCGUGGGCGCUGGAGAACUGAGGGGGGCUGCUCCUAGUACGAGAGGACCGGAGUGGACGCAUCACUGGUGUUCGGGUUGUCAUGCCAAUGGCACUGCCCGGUAGCUAAAUGCGGAAGAGAUAAGUGCUGAAAGCAUCUAAGCACGAAACUUGCCCCGAGA